UCCGUAGGGGGCAAGCGUUGUCCGGAUUUAUUGGGCGUAAAGAGCGUGUAGGCGGCUAGGUAGGUCCGUUGUGAAAACUCGAGGCUCAACCUCGAGACGUCGAUGGAAACCAUCUAGCUAGAGUCCGGAAGAGGAGAGUGGAAUUCCUGGUGUAGCGGUGAAAUGCGCAGAUAUCAGGAAGAACACCCGUGGCGAAGGCGGCUCUCUGGUACGUGACUGACGCUGAGACGCGAAAGCGUGGGGAGCGAACAGG
RNAcentral lists this ribosomal RNA (253 nucleotides) under uncultured bacterium. Its description in RNAcentral is "partial 16S ribosomal RNA". It matches the Rfam family "Bacterial small subunit ribosomal RNA", at positions 524 to 776 of the family's 1533-position model. The record is from RNAcentral.